Molecule: ribosomal RNA, 493 nt
Filed under: uncultured bacterium
Lineage: Bacteria
Description: bacterial SSU rRNA
Rfam family: Bacterial small subunit ribosomal RNA
Source: RNAcentral
AAAUGAAUAGACGGGGACUCGCACAAGCGGUGGAGCAUGCGGUUUAAUUCGAGGCAACGCGAAGAACCUUACCAGGUCUUGACAUCCCGCUGACCGGUCUAGAAAUAGGCCUUUCCUUCGGGACGGCGGUGACAGGUGGUGCAUGGUUGUCGUCAGCUCGUGUCGUGAGAUGUUGGGUUAAGUCCCGCAACGAGCGCAACCCUUAUCAUUAGUUGCUAACAUUAAGUUGAGGACUCUAAUGAGACCGCCGGUGACAAACCGGAUGAAGGUGAGGAUGACGUCAAAUCAUCAUGCCCCUUAUGAUCUGGGCUACACGCGUGCUACAAUGGCCGGUACAAUGAGUCGCGAAGCCGCGAGGCGGAGCUAAUCUCAAAAAGCCGGUCUCAGUUCGGAUUGUAGUCUGCAACUCGACUACAUGAAGUCGGAAUCGCUAGUAAUCGCGAAUCAGAAUGUCGCGGUGAAUACGUUCUCGAGUCUUGUACACACCGCCCGU